Talpa occidentalis (Iberian mole) is the source of this 2116-nucleotide RNA transcript. It is a transcript of the gene named ubiquitin conjugating enzyme E2 W, with no coding region annotated. Lineage: Eukaryota; Metazoa; Chordata; Mammalia; Eulipotyphla; Talpidae. The transcript is spliced from 8 exons. The record is from RefSeq and is a predicted model, not a curated record.
UACCAAUACUAUUAUUGUAGUCAGGUUGCCUUGACAACUGGAUACUGUGCGGCUCUCUCGAUGUCAUUAUGAAGUAUUACAGCAUAAUCAAAAGUUAGAAAAUUAUUUCUCAUCUUAGAUCCUGAGUCUUACUGAGCAAUGGGAACUUGGGGGAGUAUAACUGGAAUUACAGUAUUUGAGAAGGUUGCCUGAAUUCUCACUAGGAAUAGAGUUGUAAAAGCUGUGGAAGCAAGUGCCAAGAGGAAAGAGUUAACAGUUUAGAAUAGAAUUGAAGGUAUUCCGUGUGAAUGGUAGAUAUUUUCACUCUCAAUUCUUAUUCCAACCCUGUAAAAUGGAAAGUCAUAUCAUCCUGUUUCAUUCUAAUAGAGACAGACUUUUGAAACGACUGCAGAAAGAACUGUUGGCUCUGCAAAAUGACCCACCUCCCGGGAUGACUUUAAAUGAAAAGAGUGUUCAAAAUUCAAUUACACAGUGGAUUGUAGACAUGGAAGGUGCACCAGGUACCUUAUAUGAAGGGGAAAAAUUUCAACUUCUAUUUAAGUUUAGUAGUAGAUAUCCUUUUGACUCUCCUCAGGUCAUGUUUACUGGUGAAAAUAUUCCUGUUCAUCCUCAUGUUUAUAGCAAUGGUCAUAUCUGUUUAUCCAUUCUAACAGAAGACUGGUCCCCAGCGCUCUCAGUCCAAUCAGUUUGUCUUAGCAUUAUUAGCAUGCUUUCCAGCUGCAAAGAAAAGAGAAGACCACCAGAUAAUUCUUUUUAUGUUCGAACAUGUAACAAGAACCCAAAGAAAACAAAAUGGUGGUAUCACGUCUUCUGUCCCUGGGAAUAUCCAGGGAGAUGGUUUCCAAUAUAAUGUGAUGGUUCUUAUACUCUGGGGAAAACUAAAUGACCUUCUUCUAAUAUAGUUCUCUCUCAUUCACGUUUCCCAGAAGCCCAGUGAAGUUAGCCAUGAUGAUACUUGUUGAUGCCACUGUUACCGUCCUCCUAGCAGAAGAUAGACCUACUGAGAAAAUGAGCACUUUGAUCAUUCAGUCUUUGAACUUUAACCUUUGACUGGAAAUGACCUAUAGGCAAUGAAGACUACUUCCUUUUACUGCAUUUUUACUUGUGUGCAUUCUGGGCGCAUGUUGAUCGCUGGUUCAGUCCAAGCAACUGACAUGCUUUUAUUAGUCAUACAGUAUUAAUGCAGGUGUCAGGAAAUGUCAAAUAUAAUUCCAUUUUUUAUUUUUAUUUUUGUAAGCUUUUGGAAAAGUUCCAGGUCCUCAUGUAUUAUUGUGCAAUAACAAUGACUUCCUUGGCGGUUUUGGGACGUUCAUUGCCGGCAAUGGACGUUGUAACAGGAAAAAUUUUCAUUUAACUCCUGCCACCCAAUGAUUAAUGCAUGAUAGGGCCUAUGAAAUGAACUUAUCGGUUAUAGUGGGAUUAUAAGUAAAGUGAGGGAUCCAACAUUAUUUAGAAAGUCACCCCAACUGUUUAUAUUUGGAUUCUAUGCACUGUGAUCCUAAGGUUAACAGCAUGAAUUAACAUGCGUCUUUAAAGGACUGUAAUGAAAGAUCAUUGCGUAUUUAUUGAAUUGUUUAUAUCUGCUGUCAAAUUGUUUUGACAUGGAAGGUUUUUCAAGUAACAUUGGCAGAGAGGUACAAUGUGUUAUCCCUAUGGUGAAAAUAAAUCCAUUCAUUGUAUAUAGUUUCUCAAUCUCUGAAGUAAAGGUAUGAGUAAUAUAGGGUAUGAAUGGUUUAAUCAAGGCUUUAUUUUGGAAGUAAGAAAAAUGGCAGUGAUAAUUGAACUGCUGCAGUCCAUAAUUGGGCUUGUUAUUUGUACAUUAACAAUUUUUCAAAUAGAUUACACUCUGUUAACUUCCUGCUAGCCAUCAGCAUGAGCCCUUACUGCCUAAACACUAUUUCAUUUAUUUAUGUUUGGAAAAUCCAUAACAUUUUUGUUUGCAAUUUUGUUUCUUUUGUUAUGUUUUAAGUCAAGUAUGAAUGUUAUAAUACUUAAUUGAAGAACUUUUGUCAAGUUUUUUUCUUGUAAAAUUUCUUUACUUGUAAGUAUCAUCUUGUCCUUCAAUCCUGUACCCUAAAAUAAGAAAUACAUUUUUGACAGAGGCUUAAUGUUUUAA